GAGUCCUAAAACAUAGGAUGUCAUUCUUCUCUGCUCAUUUCGUUUUAUUUAAUUCAUGAGGCAAACUUUAUUUGGUUGGUUCAUAAAUAAAUUGUAACAGCAGGCAUUUGUUUUUGAGGUGAAGAUACACGAGCCGAACGCAAUAAAGCAAGAACACUAAAGCAUCAACAAUCACGCAGGUUUUCAGAAGAAGGAGGAGGAUGAAGAA
Long non-coding RNA from Drosophila santomea, 208 nucleotides. RefSeq lists it as uncharacterized. The transcript is spliced from 2 exons. The record is from RefSeq and is a predicted model, not a curated record. NCBI's taxonomy places the organism in Eukaryota, Metazoa, Arthropoda, Insecta, Diptera, Drosophilidae.